CCUUAAUGGAACUGAAGGAUCAAAGGGUAGCAUUUAUCAAAGAAACGUCAUAAUGCCCACAUCAACAAAAAACACGUCCUUCCAAUUGCAUGCACAUGACAGUGAUGACAAUAUUGUAGAUAACCUAGCGAUCACUAUAAUAAUCCAGUUUAUGUUUCUUCUUUUUGUAACAAUCUGCAAAUUGUAUGCUAUGCCCCUUGUACCAUUUUGAA
RNAcentral lists this long non-coding RNA (212 nucleotides) under Nicotiana benthamiana. Its description in RNAcentral is "long non-coding RNA (NBEN_LNC008990)". The record is from RNAcentral. Lineage: Eukaryota; Viridiplantae; Streptophyta; Magnoliopsida; Solanales; Solanaceae.